GGACCCGCACAAGCAGCGGAGCAUGUGGUUUAAUUCGAAGCAACGCGAAGAACCUUACCAGGACUUGACAUCUCCCUGACAGGGCCUUAAACGGCCCGUUCUACGGACAGGGAUGACAGGUGGUGCAUGGUUGUCGUCAGCUCGUGUCGUGAGAUGUUGGGUUAAGUCCCGCAACGAGCGCAACCCUUGUCAUUAGUUGCCAGCAGUAAGAUGGGCACUCUAAUGAGACUGCCGGGGACAACUCGGAGGAAGGUGGGGAUGACGUCAAAUCAUCAUGCCCCUUAUGUUCUGGGCUACACACGUGCUACAAUGGCCGGUACAAAGAGACGCAAGACCGCGAGGUGGAGCAAAACUCAAAAACCGGCCCCAGUUCGGAUUGCAGGCUGCAACUCGCCUGCAUGAAGCCGGAGUUGCUAGUAAUCGUGAAUCAGAAUGUCACGGUGAAUGCGUUCCCGGGUCUU
RNAcentral lists this ribosomal RNA (461 nucleotides) under uncultured bacterium. RNAcentral describes it as "bacterial SSU rRNA". It matches the Rfam family "Bacterial small subunit ribosomal RNA", at positions 917 to 1382 of the family's 1533-position model. The record is from RNAcentral.